AAUAGGACAAUGGUAAAUCAGAUUUUUCCUCCUGACUUUCAAUAUUUUUCUCCUAAAAAAAUUUAAAUUCAACUAAAAAUACUGAAAAUCAGGAGAAAAAUCUGAUUUGUCAUUAUCCUAUU
Non-coding RNA from Gossypium hirsutum (cotton), 122 nucleotides. The record is from Rfam. NCBI's taxonomy places the organism in Eukaryota, Viridiplantae, Streptophyta, Magnoliopsida, Malvales, Malvaceae.